UUUAAUUCUGUCAAUUACGUACAUUUAACCCAACAUUUGGGUUCUCUAUCGAAAACUCAAAUUUGAGUAAAAAUCAACUUGUUCAAUUUAUUGCAGUCAUUUAGGCUGCGUUCUAGCCGUUGGGUAAUUUAAACACAAUUUUGGAUGAAAAAAUGUAGCAGCCACUUUAAAAUGUCAACACAGAUUAUUCCAUGUUAGUCAUCGUCGGUGAAGGAUGUAAAUCGUGAUCGUUUUUUAAAAAAUACUCGCAACAUUGGUGGAUUAGUGUAGUGAUAUUUCAAAGAUCCUCAGUUGUCCUGGGUCCAUUAUCAUCCCGUAAUAACUACUGUUUGCCGUCCCUGCCACUCGUUGUGAAUGAUUUGCGGAACCGAGAUGCUGGUUACUGAUCUCAAAAGAAUUACCGCAGUGAUUUCGACAGAUGGCAUCCCGCCCCGAGCUUUGUUUUCCCGUUCCAGCCACUCUGUGCCACCGCCUAAUCACAGUAAAUUUUUACACCCGAUACGAAAUGUUUUUUUGCACCGAAAACGUCGCCCUUGGCAUCCACGUCGUUGAGUAAAAGCUUCAAACGAAUAAAGGUUUUUUUAAAUUAAA
Molecule: long non-coding RNA, 591 nt
Organism: Aedes aegypti (yellow fever mosquito)
Lineage: Eukaryota; Metazoa; Arthropoda; Insecta; Diptera; Culicidae
Exons: 2
Source: RefSeq, a predicted model, not a curated record